This 440-nucleotide ribosomal RNA is filed under the name uncultured bacterium. RNAcentral describes it as "partial 16S ribosomal RNA". It matches the Rfam family "Bacterial small subunit ribosomal RNA", at positions 338 to 795 of the family's 1533-position model. The record is from RNAcentral.
CCUACGGGUGGCAGCAGUGGGGAAUAUUGCACAAUGGGGGAAACCCUGAUGCAGCGACGCCGCGUGAGUGAAGAAGUAAUUCGUUAUGUAAAGCUCUAUCAGCAGGGAAGAAAAUGACGGUACCUGUGUAAGAAGCCCCGGCGAACUAUGUGCCAGCACCCGCGGCAAUAGGUAGGGGGCAAGCGGAAGCCGGAUUUACUGGGGGUAAAGGGAGCGUAGACGGCAGUGCAAGUCUGGGGUGAAAGGCGGGGGCGCAACCCCCGGACGGCGCUGGAAACUGUACGGCUGGAGUGCAGGAGAGGUAAGUGGAAUUCGUGGUGUAGCGGUGAAAUGCGUAGAUAUUAGGAGGAACACCAGUGGCGAAGGCGGCUUACUGGACUGUAACUGACGUUGAGGCUCGAAGGCGUGGGGAGCGAAAAGGAUUAGAUACCCGGGUAGUC